GCGGGCGUGGCGGAACUGGCAGACGCGCCAGACUUAGGAUCUGGUGGUUACCCCGUGCAGGUUCGAUUCCUGUCGCCCGCACCA
This 84-nucleotide transfer RNA is filed under the name Clostridia bacterium. Its description in RNAcentral is "tRNA-Leu". It matches the Rfam family "tRNA". Rfam says of the family: Transfer RNA (tRNA) molecules are approximately 80 nucleotides in length. Their secondary structure includes four short double-helical elements and three loops (D, anti-codon, and T loops). The record is from RNAcentral. Lineage: Bacteria; Bacillati; Bacillota; Clostridia.